UGAUAAGAAAAGGAAUUUAACCUCUAUUAUUAGGACUACAGCCUACCGCCUAAACAUUCGGCCAUCUUACC
RNAcentral lists this transfer RNA (71 nucleotides) under Elgaria paucicarinata. RNAcentral describes it as "tRNA-Tyr". The record is from RNAcentral. Lineage: Eukaryota; Metazoa; Chordata; Lepidosauria; Squamata; Anguidae.